Molecule: long non-coding RNA, 1140 nt
Filed under: Phoenix dactylifera (date palm)
Lineage: Eukaryota; Viridiplantae; Streptophyta; Magnoliopsida; Arecales; Arecaceae
Description: long non-coding RNA (PDAC_LNC002158)
Source: RNAcentral
GCCUCAUGUCAAAGGGCUAGAAACUAAAAUUUGGCAGUCUAGGAUAACAGGAAGUUAUUGGAAAGGAUUUUUAAAAGCCCCAAAAGCCAGCAGUGACUGGUGGUUAUGGCUAGUAGAAUUUUCGAUAAUAAGGUAUAGAUAGUAAAUUACUUAUUGCGCUUCUAAGACCUUACUUAUGUGUAUUCUAUUAUCAUAUUCCGAGUUCUGCUUUUUCCCACAAGUUCAGUUACCAUGAAAUUGCAGAAAAUUAAACUAUAGAACAAAUCUAAAGCCAAAGUUCUUUUAGCUAUCAACCAAAACCCUUUCACACUUAAAUACCUUUACUGCAAAGAUUCAAGAAGCCAAUAGAAUUAGAGCAAUCAACCACCUAUCCUUGUAUGACUUUUGAAUGUUCUGUUGUUAGAAUCAAAAAAUAAGGAAAAAACAAAAGGGAGACGAUUCUUUUUUGUGCAUUCCAGGUAACAAUAUGCCUCGAGGGAGACGAUUUAGAGAUGUGGAGUUCCAACAUUCUCAAGUGGGAUCUACUUCUGAGCAGUCCCUGCAGUCCCAGUAGCCAUGUGAGCACCAGCAGCACGAGUCAGGAUCUCAGCACGAGCCUCCUGCUGAUUGUCCGGAGGAUGAGCUUCGGAUCCAGGGUAAUUCGAUUUAAAGUUCAUAUUUUAUGUUCAUAUUUGUCUUCAACUUUUUCAGACUUUUUAAUUUUAAUAGAUUGGACUAAGGGAUGGUGAGGUACGAGACNNNNNNNNNNNNNNNNNNNNGGUUCUUCGUAAUCUUUCUGGUAUUUUGUUUUUGUGGCUAUUAAUUAAUCAGUUAUGUUCUUGUUUUUUUUUUGUCUAUUUUGGGGUAAAUUUUGCGCAGUAAGAAUUCCCCUUAUUUUUUUUGUUCAAGUGAAGUGGAUUGUUUUAUGCGUGCCUUCUGUCUGAUAGUUGUGAUGAGAUUGGCUCAAGUUUAGGAUAUUUUUUUAAUGGAAAUACGUAGUUAGUUGAUUACAUGCAUAUGCUGAAGGUGAUGCCUUGCUUUGAUUGUGGAUUGUGUCUUUGUGUUCUGCUACCUUUUCAUGAAGUGCUAUUAUUUUUUAAUAUGGAAAGUUGGGGCAUGGUGUUCUUAUGGGUCACUUGCCGACAUGAGUGCUGUAAACCU